RNAcentral lists this ribosomal RNA (465 nucleotides) under uncultured bacterium. Its description in RNAcentral is "partial 16S ribosomal RNA". It matches the Rfam family "Bacterial small subunit ribosomal RNA", at positions 28 to 507 of the family's 1533-position model. The record is from RNAcentral.
GACGAACGCUGGCGGCGUGCUUAACACAUGCAAGUCGAACGGAAAGGCCCCUUUGGGGGUACUCGAGUGGCGAACGGGUGAGUAACACGUGAGUAACCUGCCCUUGACUUCGGGAUAACUUCAGGAAACUGGGGCUAAUACCGGAUAGGAAUCCUUGCUGCAUGGUGGGGGUUGGAAAGCUUCGGCGGUUUUGGAUGGACUCGCGGCUUAUCAGCUUGUUGGUGGGGUAGUGGCUUACCAAGGCUUUGACGGGUAGCCGGCCUGAGAGGGCGACCGGCCACAUUGGGACUGAGAUACGGCCCAGACUCCUACGGGAGGCAGCAGUGGGAAAUAUUGCACAAUGGGCGGAAGCCCGAUGCAGCAACGCCGCGUGCGGGAUGACGGCCUUCGGGUUGUAAACCGCUUUCAGCAGGGGCGAAGCUUGUGGUGACGGUACCUGCAGAAGAAGCACCGGCUAACUACGUG